Molecule: ribosomal RNA, 539 nt
Filed under: uncultured bacterium
Lineage: Bacteria
Description: partial 16S ribosomal RNA
Rfam family: Bacterial small subunit ribosomal RNA
Source: RNAcentral
UGGGGAAUAUUGCACAAUGGGCGCAAGCCUGAUGCAGCAACGCCGCGUGAGGGAUGACGGCCUUCGGGUUGUAAACCUCUUUUAGCAGGGAAGAAGCGAAAGUGACGGUACCUGCAGAAAAAGCGCCGGCUAACUACGUGCCAGCAGCCGCGGUAAUACGUAGGGCGCAAGCGUUAUCCGGAAUUAUUGGGCGUAAAGAGCUCGUAGGCGGUUUGUCGCGUCUGCUGUGAAAUCCCGAGGCUCAACCUCGGGUCUGCAGUGGGUACGGGCAGACGUAGAGUGCGGUAGGGGAGAUUGGAAUUCCUGGUGUAGCGGUGGAAUGCGCAGAUAUCAGGAGGAACACCGAUGGCGAAGGCAGAUCUCUGGGCCGUAACUGACGCUGAGGAGCGGAAAGGGUGGGGAGCAAAACAGGCUUAGAUACCCUGGUAGUCCACCCCGUAAACGUUGGGAACUAGUUGUGGGGUCCAUUCCACGGAUUCCGUGACGCAGCUAACGCAUUAAGUUCCCCGCCUGGGGGAGUACGGCCGCAAGGCCUAAAA